GAUGAACGCUGGCGGCGUGCCUAAUACAUGCAAGUCGAGCGAACAGACGAGGAGCUUGCUCCUUCGACGUUAGCGGCGGACGGGUGAGUAACACGUAGGUAACCUACCUAUAAGACUGGGAUAACUUCGGGAAACCGGAGCUAAUACCGGAUAAUAUUUCGAACCGCGUGGUUCGAUAGUGAAAGAUGGCUUUGCUAUCACUUAUAGAUGGACCUGCGCCGUAUUAGCUAGUUGGUAAGGUAACGGCUUACCAAGGCAACGAUACGUAGCCGACCUGAGAGGGUGAUCGGCCACACUGGAACUGAGACACGGUCCAGACUCCUACGGGAGGCAGCAGUAGGGAAUCUUCCGCAAUGGGCGAAAGCCUGACGGAGCAACGCCGCGUGAGUGAUGAAGGUCUUCGGAUCGUAAAACUCUGUUAUUAGGGAAGAACAAACGUGUAAGUAACUGUGCACGUCUUGACGGUACCUAAUCAGAAAGCCACGGCUAACUACGUG
Molecule: ribosomal RNA, 497 nt
Filed under: uncultured bacterium
Lineage: Bacteria
Description: partial 16S ribosomal RNA
Rfam family: Bacterial small subunit ribosomal RNA
Source: RNAcentral